RNAcentral lists this ribosomal RNA (500 nucleotides) under uncultured bacterium. RNAcentral's name for it is "partial 16S ribosomal RNA". It matches the Rfam family "Bacterial small subunit ribosomal RNA", at positions 29 to 523 of the family's 1533-position model. The record is from RNAcentral.
AUUGAACGCUGGCGGCAUGCCUUACACAUGCAAGUCGAACGGCAGCGCGGACUUCGGUCUGGCGGCGAGUGGCGAACGGGUGAGUAAUACAUCGGAACGUACCCUGUUGUGGGGGAUAACUAGUCGAAAGAUUAGCUAAUACCGCAUACGACCUGAGGGUGAAAGUGGGGGACCGCAAGGCCUCACGCAGCAGGAGCGGCCGAUGUCUGAUUAGCUAGUUGGUGGGGUAAAGGCCCACCAAGGCGACGAUCAGUAGCUGGUCUGAGAGGACGAUCAGCCAGACGGGGACUGAGACACGGCCCAGACUCCUACGGGAGGCAGCAGUGGGGAAUUUUGGACAAUGGGGGCAACCCUGAUCCAGCAAUGCCGCGUGUGUGAAGAAGGCCUUCGGGUUGUAAAGCACUUUUGUCCGGAAAGAAAUCGCGCUGGUUAAUACCUGGCGUGGAUGACGGUACCGGAAGAAUAAGCACCGGCUAACUACGUGCCAGCAGCCGCCGUAA